RNAcentral lists this ribosomal RNA (246 nucleotides) under uncultured Streptococcus sp. Its description in RNAcentral is "partial 16S ribosomal RNA". It matches the Rfam family "Bacterial small subunit ribosomal RNA", at positions 1136 to 1382 of the family's 1533-position model. Lineage: Bacteria; Bacillati; Bacillota; Bacilli; Lactobacillales; Streptococcaceae. The record is from RNAcentral.
GACUCUAGCGAGACUGCCGGUAAUAAACCGGAGGAAGUGGGGAUGACGUCAAAUCAUCAUGCCCCUUAUGACCUGGGCUACACACGUGCUACAAUGGUUGGUACAACGAGUUGCGAGUCGGUGACGGCGAGCUAAUCUCUUAAAGCCAAUCUCAGUUCGGAUUGUAGGCUGCAACUCGCCUACAUGAAGUCGGAAUCGCUAGUAAUCGCGGAUCAGCACGCCGCGGUGAAUACGUUCCCGGGCCUU